RNAcentral lists this ribosomal RNA (1417 nucleotides) under Salmonella enterica subsp. enterica serovar Enteritidis. RNAcentral describes it as "partial 23S ribosomal RNA". It matches the Rfam family "Bacterial large subunit ribosomal RNA", at positions 1538 to 2925 of the family's 2925-position model. The record is from RNAcentral. Lineage: Bacteria; Pseudomonadati; Pseudomonadota; Gammaproteobacteria; Enterobacterales; Enterobacteriaceae.
AAAUCCGGUUCACUUUAACACUGAGGCGUGACGACGAGGCACUACGGUGCUGAAGCAACAAAUGCCCUGCUUCCAGGAAAAGCCUCUAAGCAUCAGGUAACAUCAAAUCGUACCCCAAACCGACACAGGUGGUCAGGUAGAGAAUACCAAGGCGCUUGAGAGAACUCGGGUGAAGGAACUAGGCAAAAUGGUGCCGUAACUUCGGGAGAAGGCACGCUGACACGUAGGUGAAGUGAUUUACUCAUGGAGCUGAAGUCAGUCGAAGAUACCAGCUGGCUGCAACUGUUUAUUAAAAACACAGCACUGUGCAAACACGAAAGUGGACGUAUACGGUGUGACGCCUGCCCGGUGCCGGAAGGUUAAUUGAUGGGGUCAGCGCAAGCGAAGCUCCUGAUCGAAGCCCCGGUAAACGGCGGCCGUAACUAUAACGGUCCUAAGGUAGCGAAAUUCCUUGUCGGGUAAGUUCCGACCUGCACGAAUGGCGUAAUGAUGGCCAGGCUGUCUCCACCCGAGACUCAGUGAAAUUGAACUCGCUGUGAAGAUGCAGUGUACCCGCGGCAAGACGGAAAGACCCCGUGAACCUUUACUAUAGCUUGACACUGAACAUUGAGCCUUGAUGUGUAGGAUAGGUGGGAGGCUUUGAAGUGUGGACGCCAGUCUGCAUGGAGCCGACCUUGAAAUACCACCCUUUAAUGUUUGAUGUUCUAACGUGGACCCGUUACCCGGGUUGCGGACAGUGUCUGGUGGGUAGUUUGACUGGGGCGGUCUCCUCCUAAAGAGUAACGGAGGAGCACGAAGGUUGGCUAAUCCUGGUCGGACAUCAGGAGGUUAGUGCAAUGGCAUAAGCCAGCUUGACUGCGAGCGUGACGGCGCGAGCAGGUGCGAAAGCAGGUCAUAGUGAUCCGGUGGUUCUGAAUGGAAGGGCCAUCGCUCAACGGAUAAAAGGUACUCCGGGGAUAACAGGCUGAUACCGCCCAAGAGUUCAUAUCGACGGCGGUGUUUGGCACCUCGAUGUCGGCUCAUCACAUCCUGGGGCUGAAGUAGGUCCCAAGGGUAUGGCUGUUCGCCAUUUAAAGUGGUACGCGAGCUGGGUUUAGAACGUCGUGAGACAGUUCGGUCCCUAUCUGCCGUGGGCGCUGGAGAACUGAGGGGGGCUGCUCCUAGUACGAGAGGACCGGAGUGGACGCAUCACUGGUGUUCGGGUUGUCAUGCCAAUGGCACUGCCCGGUAGCUAAAUGCGGAAGAGAUAAGUGCUGAAAGCAUCUAAGCACGAAACUUGCCCCGAGAUGAGUUCUCCCUGAGACUUAAAGUCUCCUGAAGGAACGUUGAAGACGACGACGUUGAUAGGCCGGGUGUGUAAGCGCAGCGAUGCGUUGAGCUAACCGGUACUAAUGAACCGUGAGGCUUAACCUUACAA